CCUACGGGGGGCUGCAGUGGGGAAUAUUGGACAAUGGGGGGAACCCUGAUCCAGCCAUGCCGCGUGUGUGAAGAAGGCCCUCGGGUUGUAAAGCACUUUCAGUGAGGAAGAACGCCUGGUGGUUAAUACCCAUCAGGAAAGACAUCACUCACAGAAGAAGCACCGUCUAACUCCGUGCCAGCAGCCGCGGUAAUACGGAGGGUGCGAGCGUUAAUCGGAAUUACUGGGCGUAAAGCGCGCGUAGGUGGCUUGAUAAGCCGGUUGUGAAAGCCCCGGGCUCAACCUGGGAACGGCAUCCGGAACUGUCAAGCUAGAGUGCAGGAGAGGAAGGUAGAAUUCCCGGUGUAGCGGUGAAAUGCGUAGAGAUCGGGAGGAAUACCAGUGGCGAAGGCGGCCUUCUGGACUGACACUGACACUGAGGUGCGAAAGCGUGGGUAGCAAACAGGAUUAGAUACCCCUGUAGUC
RNAcentral lists this ribosomal RNA (465 nucleotides) under Vreelandella stevensii. Its description in RNAcentral is "partial 16S ribosomal RNA". It matches the Rfam family "Bacterial small subunit ribosomal RNA", at positions 338 to 795 of the family's 1533-position model. The record is from RNAcentral. Lineage: Bacteria; Pseudomonadati; Pseudomonadota; Gammaproteobacteria; Oceanospirillales; Halomonadaceae.